AGAGUAUCAAGAAUAAAAUGUUAAGUAAAAAUAGCAGAGAAGAUAAAAGGAAAGAGGAAGUCAUCGACAGAUGGCAGACGGUCGCAAUUAUCUAUUAACACAUACGGUAUAUUACUCGACAAAUGUGAUUGGCUGAUAGUUCAGGUUCUAACUAAAAGUACCAGAUGCUCUCGAUUAUACGUUCACAGCAUAUCGAAGGCAAGGAACACAAAGAGUAAAUUAACUCAGAACGGAUGUGAG
This 240-nucleotide unclassified non-coding RNA is filed under the name Bombus terrestris (buff-tailed bumblebee). RNAcentral's name for it is "misc RNA ENSBTSG00005034029.1". Lineage: Eukaryota; Metazoa; Arthropoda; Insecta; Hymenoptera; Apidae. The record is from RNAcentral.